RNAcentral lists this long non-coding RNA (308 nucleotides) under Citrus sinensis (sweet orange). RNAcentral's name for it is "long non-coding RNA (CSIN_LNC003731)". Lineage: Eukaryota; Viridiplantae; Streptophyta; Magnoliopsida; Sapindales; Rutaceae. The record is from RNAcentral.
AAAAAAAAAAAAAAAAAAAAAAAAAAAAAAAAAAAAAAAAAAAAAAAAAAAAAAAAAAAAAAAAAAAAAAAAAAAAAAAAAAGAUGGAAACGGGAAAAAAUCCGUAGAAAGAUUUAAAAAACAAAAACAGAAGUGCGAGAGAACUCAAGUUUCAAAUUGAACAAAUUGAUUAAAAAUUAAUAAUGAGAUCACAACUAAUUAUUGAUCAAGUUUCUAAGAAAACAAAUCGACACACGAGAGGCAAGAGUCCCCUUUUGAUGUGCGAGCAAGCUGGUUUAACAAUCUCCAUCCCAACCGGAAAUUGCUUG